Molecule: microRNA, 22 nt
Filed under: Caenorhabditis elegans
Lineage: Eukaryota; Metazoa; Nematoda; Chromadorea; Rhabditida; Rhabditidae
Source: RNAcentral
AACGACGGAUAGAAGAAGAAGA